UUGACUCUAUAGUAAUGAAAAAUUUUCCUUGAUUCUAUGUCGAGGAAUAUUAUUAAAAUCUUAGCCUGAAUUUCAUUGCAGGCUUUCUUUUUGGCUUGAAGUUGCUCAAAGCUUAUGUUAGCAAAGCUGUGAUACUGAAUUUUAUAAUUAGUGGUUUAGACUGUUAUUUCUGACUAUCUCAUCGUUAACCUAAAGUCUGUGCCUGUGGGUUACUUUGGUUGACCUUGGUUAGCACUGGUUAAGUACUGUAUGAUUAACAUUUCUAGUUCCUUGUCAUUCUCAACAUGUUUAUUGCAGAACUCAACUCAACUGAGCUUAAUUCCAGACUAGUUAUGGUGGGCUACAUUGAUUUCUUUCCUUCUUCUGCAUUUUUAGGAGUCAAUACUUUUUGUUAGUCAUGAAGGAUCUGUAUUCAUAGAGGUUUAAAGAGUUUUACAUUGGUCAUCAACAUGCACAAUUCUCCCCCUUUAUCAAGGUUUUAGGGAUAGAGCAUACCUAAUUCGUCCUUUUAUCAAAGUUUGAUGUAGUUUGAGGUUCUUGUAGAUGCUAUUGUUUUAAAGUGUUCACGCAUGCUUACCUACGCCACCUUAAAUUUUUGAAACUUUGUAGUUCAAAAUUAAUGUCUUGUACUGAUGUUCAGUUUGUUGCAGAUGAGCAGUAAUGCUUUUUGUCGUGUUGGUUUUUUCCUUGGCCAAUGUUCUUGUUUAGCCUUGGUGCAAG
This 720-nucleotide unclassified non-coding RNA is filed under the name Hevea brasiliensis (rubber tree). The record is from RNAcentral. Lineage: Eukaryota; Viridiplantae; Streptophyta; Magnoliopsida; Malpighiales; Euphorbiaceae.